AUUGAACGCUGGCGGCAUGCUUUACACAUGCAAGUCGAACGGUAACAGGCCUUCGGGUGCUGACGAGUGGCGAACGGGUGAGUAAUGCAUCGGAACGUACCCAGAGGUGGGGGAUAACGCAGCGAAAGCUGUGCUAAUACCGCAUGUGAUCUGAGGAUGAAAGCGGGGGACCGAGCAGCAAUGUUUGGCCUCGCGCCUUUGGAGCGGCCGAUGUCGGAUUAGCUAGUUGGUGGGGUAAAGGCCUACCAAGGCGACGAUCCGUAGCUGGUCUGAGAGGACGACAAGCCACACGGGGACUGAGACACGGCCCAGACGCCUACGGGAGGCAGCAGUGGGGAAUUUUGGACAAUGGGCGCAAGCCUGAUCCAGCAAUGCCGCGUGCGGGAAGAAGGCCUUCGGGUUGUAAACCGCUUUUGGCAGGAACGAAACGGUGUCCGCUAAUACCGGGCGCUAAUGACGGUACCUGCAGAAUAAGCACCGGCUAACUACGUG
Molecule: ribosomal RNA, 492 nt
Filed under: uncultured bacterium
Lineage: Bacteria
Description: partial 16S ribosomal RNA
Rfam family: Bacterial small subunit ribosomal RNA
Source: RNAcentral